AUGAAAAAUGCUUAAAUUACUAAUGUACGAAGAGUACUACUGGAAAAUUGGGUACGGUGACUGCGAUAUCUCUGCCUAGGGUUCAACCAACGGAAUGCUGGGGUAAUUUUCUCAUCUCUUUUCUCCAUUCUUUGUCAUUUUGGACUCAAAUUAAUGUACUUCACUUUUUAUCGUUGGCUAAUAAUACUUACCUUUUAAAAUACUCCAUAGAGAGAGAUAGUGGGAACUCAAAAGAGCAAGGGCAUAAUUUCUAAAAGCAAAAACAAAGCAAAUCAUGUUGCAGUGGUAAGAGACUCUGCAGUUACUUUCAUGCCGACACCUUUUCUUAUGCUUUCCUUUUAUCUUUUUUUUGAUGGUUUAAUUCUUCUCCCACAAAUUUUAGUAAUUUAGUUGCACAUACAGCAAUACUUUGGAAAAUAAGACCUGGGAUUUGUUUCCAUGAUCAAAAAGGCCCUUUAUAUAAUGAUUUUAUAAAUUGAUAAUUUGACAAGUAAAAGUCCAAAUUGUCCUGAAUGUGAGAAGUAAGUCUUAAGUGUGAAGACUAGAAAGCUUGUAGCUCAUCUAGCCACAUUUUUCUACUCUAUUUUGCUACAUCUCCCUUUUUGUUAAUUUUACUUAGGUAAGUCCUAAAACCCUUGAUUUAAAUUCUAAAGCAGAAAAAGGGAGUGUAAAUAUGCACGCGACUGACGCGUUGAGUCUUCCAUAAUUUCUAGUUUUUAUUCAAUAAUUUGAAUGGCAGAUCUAAUUUUUUAAUUGGUUACGGAUACAGUCAAGGAGACGAGGCUUAAGGCAGUAUUACAAAUGAUGUAGUUGAAAAUGAUUCCUAGCUUCAUGUGAUCAUACAUAUGAUGGAGGGAGAGUACGUAUAACAUAUUUGUUGCCCAAUUAUUUGCUUUGCUAACUUUGAUGGGAUCUGAAUUUUCUCAAGAAUAUCUCAUGACAGCUAAUAAUAAAGUUAUACCAUCAAUUCUUAAGAUGAUGAUUUUGAUGCUAGUCCAAUAAUUAUGCUUAAGGUGAUGCACCUUAUUUGAUUCCAGUUUGUUAGUUAACUACCUUAAUCCAUGGUAUUGGUGUGCUAUAAUUUAUUUUCUUGGUAACUUGUGGGUUUGAGAUUUUAGUUAACUGCUAGAUUUUGUCUGGUCUCCAGGUCCUGGUUUUAUGAAUUUAUAAAGCUUUUUGCUGGGAUCAACCAUUGGUUCUUUAACGAAGAUGUGCAUUUGAGAUUUCAAUUGUCCUGUCGGAGAUUUUUGUGCAUCGAAAUGUGACCAGCUGUAGCUGUUGAAAAGAGUAUGCUGCAUAUGUGCUAAUGUCUGUGGUUUGUUAACAUUCUUGAAAACAUAGAGAUGCUGAGGUCCACCAGACUUUCCUCACUAAGUGUCUUAUAGAAACAUAUGUUGAUCGCAAGUAUUAUACUUGCUUUUUCUGGCUUCAUGAAUUAAACCUCAAAAAGAAGAAGAAGAAUACACAUCAAUUACCUCUUUUUCCAGGUCUAUCUUCAAAAGGUAUCAGUCUCUAUUUAACUUUUAAGAGCUUGUGGCCAGAAGAAUUCAUCAGUAGCCGUUUGGAUGUGGUCUUAACCAUAAUUUAGGGGGAAAAUGUGUGUUGAUGAAAAGUGAUUCAUAUGUGUGGUGCGCUAAUGAUGAUUUGAUUGUUGUAAAGGUUGUGAAAAGUUGUCUGUGAACAAAAAGAUAAAAGACUUCACAUCAGAUAUACACUUUAUCAGUUUGCACACUAUAACCAGAUCCUGAAUGCAUGAUGGCAUUGUUGAUUGCAUGCCGUAUGUUUUUUUUUUCCCACUGGAUGUGAUGGGGUUUAGGUAUAUCCCUAGCUCCAAAAUAUCAAAAGGCAGUAUGUGAUAAUGAUGAAGGGGAUGUAAUACACAAUAUCAUUUUGAAGUUAUUGAAUUAGACAGAUUCUAAAUUGCUUGGAAACCGAACUGCAUAAACCAUAUGUGUGAGUUUCAUUUCUGCUUCCCUACACUUACUUCGGAGGUCCGCUGUUGGACUUAUUCAUCUAACUUUUCUUUUGUUAUUUACACUGGUUUCAAAAAUUUCUGCCAUUUGUCAACAUAUUUUACUUUUUUUUUUUUUUAAAAACUUUCGAAGGUUAUAAUUCUUUACAUGGUUGCAAAGUAUCCUAAGUUCUUUUCAUUUGGUCGUCUAACAGAACAUCCUUUUUGAAGUGUAACAGAUAAAAUAUCCUGAGUAGUAAAUCCUUGUGCUUUAGGUCGUCAUUGGUAUUGUCCGGAAUGUUGAUUUUUCUAUAGAGUACUCAUUUCAGUUAGACUAAGAUAAGCUGACAAUCUGUGAAGUGCCUUUUCACUUUACUAUAGAAAUCCUUACUAUUAAAAAUAAUUCAAUACCAGCUCACACAGUAAUCCUACUAAAAAGAAAAAAAUUCUAUACUCUUAUAAUGCAUUAAGAAUAUGCAAUCAUUCUUUAUAUGGUGUAAUAGGGGUCAGCAAAACUAUGCCAGCCACACAAAAGAAAACACCAAAAUAUAUAUAUAAAUAUAGGUAAUAGUCUUACUAUACUAGCAUUGAUCAUGAUCUCCCUGAAUUCUGUUGCUCGAUGGUUUGCCGACUUGUAAACAAUCAAUUGGCGGUAGAGUAGGAGUAUACAACUCCCCGAACGUCUGCCAACAAUAUGGAUCAUACAUGUGGUAACGCUCUUGUAUUGGCUUUAGUUGGAUAUCCGUCAAGGUCACGUCUUGACAUGGCAUACUGUCACUGCAUGCUAAAUGCACUGGUUUUACUGUAUAUGUUCCUCUAAUUCUUUCAAAGUUGAUUCCUGAUAAAGCCACUGCAGACGUCUGGUUCUUACAUUUGCUCUUGUCGCAAUAGAACUGAUCAAUUACAAUUGGUAGUUGGACUUCUGAAACUUGAAUGUUUGAGAAAAACACUCCUUGUACUGACCCUGACCCUCCCUGCAGUAGUAGAAUCGAACAUUAAUGUUGGUUGUAGAAAACACUUGAACUCAAAUUCCUGAAAUCUGGUUAGUAAAAAAUGUUUACUGGAUGUUGAGACAACUAAACAUUUGCCUGGCCAUACCUGCCACGUCUUAAUCCUGACACCAUUCAUUGUGUUUUGCAUAACAACAUCUUUGACCGUAAUGUUUGAAACACAAGCCUUUGUGUUGUCUUUCCCCAGACUUCCAAUGCUGAUUCCAUGUCCUGGUCCACAAUUUAUGUUGUGUACAUACACAUUGGUGCAUCCAGUUUGUAUGGAGACACAGUCAUCUCCUGUACAAAUUAAAAAUAGUUUGUCGGUAAGUAUAUUUAGCGUGUACUAACAUUUAAAUUAAAGAACUAUUAUGUGCUUGGCUUGUUUGAUGUUCAUAUUGUCUAUGCUAUCAUAAAGUUCUCAUCUAGGUUUGGAUCUUCUUUUGAGCAUUUUUGGCAUCUAUAGAUAAAUAAUGCAAUAGGACUGAAAUAAAUGAUAAAGAUGCAAUAGAACUGAAAUAAUUGACAAAAGACAAAUUUCCUAUGUGUGGGGUUACAAGUCUCACCCUAUAUUGAACUUGCUCUUUUACUAUCUGGACAAGAUCAGUUUUUGCAGGUAGGGUCUUAAAGCUUGUGGUGCUCAAAGUAUAAAUAACAGAUAGGCAGUUGCUAGGUGUUGAAAUGUUAGUGGUUAAAAUUCAAGAAUGUGGUCCUUAUGGAAUUAUCAAAGUGGAUAAUAUUCUGGCAUCUUCUCUCAUUUAUCAGUUAUGUUAGUUGUAAAAAAUUUCACUCAAUGGUGAGAGAAUUCUUUUACACAUAGGGGUGAUUGAGCUCUUAAUUUUUGAAGAAAUAGUUGCCUCAAGCCUUUUGGACUGGUUUGUAGUAUUUAGUUGAACUGGUUGAUAUAAAAACUAAAUUCAAUGUAGGAAUUACCACAAGCAAUGUUGGAACUGCGGAUUAGCACGUCUUUGGAGUUCUGUAAAUGGAUUCCAUCUGUAUUAGGACUAUCACCAGGAGAUGAGACAGUGAAAUUGUAUACUGUUACCCCUAUGCAAUUGUCAAAUUUGAGAUGGCAUUGUUGACUAUUCUGAAUUAUGAUGCCUGUUACAGUAACAUUAAAACUCCCAUAGAAUCGAAGUGCCUGCAUUUUAACACAUUAGUUUAGUAUCAAAUGAACAUUUAAAUGGCUCAGAAUUUGAAGUGGUCCUUACCGUUGGCUUAAUGCUUGGCAUUUUUCCACCACCAAGUGAGCUAUUUAGCUGCCACACAAAUUUUGGAAAGAGUAUUAGAAAGAAACAGAGAUCGGAAACUCUGUUUAAUGGAUAAGAAAUUGUGAGAUAAUUACAGGAAUUGGAGGAUAUCUCAAUGAUGUCUUGUUUAAUGGAAUGAUUAGUUUUAAUUCGUCAUCUAGAGGAUCAUCAUAUGGGGUAUCUUGCCACCAAACUGCACCUCUCCCAUCAAUUAACCCGCUUCCUUUAACUGUAAUCCCAACCAAUUUGGUAAAUUCAAGCCAUUGCAUAAGACCUGAACCCCAAGAUUUGGCAUCUACUGGAGCAAUUAUUGUUCCAUCAAGCUGCAAAACAGAGCAUUUUCAUCACUAAUGCUUCAAAUUUAAUACUACACAAAGUCCCUAAUCUGCAAUUUCAAGACUGACACACAUAAUGGUUCUUGAAUGCUGCCUGAUGUAUUUUAAUUAAUAUCAAAAUUAUGAUUUAAAAUCGUGUAAUUCGCGAGGACAGAGCAUAGAGGUAAUUUUGUAUAUGCAUUUGCAAAAGAGGACAGAAUUAUAGACCUUUUGAUAAGCCUCCAGUUUUAGACUAUAUUAUAUGGACUUGUUCACAGAUAUGUAUGCAAUUAUUUUUUAAAUAAUCUGUAGUGUACUUGAAAUAUGUCAAGGUAGACUAAAGAUCUAAGUAACAUAGGUUUUUGCAUAUAUGCAGAUAAUCUAUAUCUUUACUAACCUGAAAAACAAUGUUGUGCUGACAGUAUGGACCUGAGAAUGAAAUUGGUCCUACAAGGAAUACAUAUUGUGACGGAACGACAAUCGUCGAAGCUUCCACUUUACAAGCAG
RNAcentral lists this long non-coding RNA (5011 nucleotides) under Nicotiana tabacum (common tobacco). RNAcentral's name for it is "long non-coding RNA (NTAB_LNC012008)". Lineage: Eukaryota; Viridiplantae; Streptophyta; Magnoliopsida; Solanales; Solanaceae. The record is from RNAcentral.